RNAcentral lists this ribosomal RNA (418 nucleotides) under uncultured bacterium. Its description in RNAcentral is "partial 16S ribosomal RNA". It matches the Rfam family "Bacterial small subunit ribosomal RNA", at positions 363 to 773 of the family's 1533-position model. The record is from RNAcentral.
UUUUGAGAAUGGGGGCAACCCUGAUCCCGUCAUCCCGCGUGUGCGAUGAAGGCCUUCGGGUUGUAAAGCACUUUUCGCAGGGAAGAAAAGGCGCCGGAUAAUACCUGGCGCCGCUGACGGUACCUGCAGAAUAAGCCCCCGCUAACUUCGUGCCAGCAGCCGCGGUAAUACGUAGGGUGCAAGCGUUAAUCGGAAAUACUGGGCGUAAAGCGUGCGCAGGCGGUUCGGAAAGAAAGAUGUGAAAUCCCAGGGCUUAACCUUGGAACUGCAUUUUUAACUGCCGGGCUAGAGUAUGUCAGAGGGGGGUAGGAUUCCACGUGUAGCAGUGAAAUGCGUAGAGAUGUGGAGGAAUACCGAUGGCGAAGGCAGCCCCCUGGGAUAAUACUGACGCUCAUGCACGAAAGCGUGGGGAGCAAAC